This 275-nucleotide ribosomal RNA is filed under the name uncultured prokaryote. Its description in RNAcentral is "partial 16S ribosomal RNA". It matches the Rfam family "Bacterial small subunit ribosomal RNA", at positions 524 to 798 of the family's 1533-position model. The record is from RNAcentral.
UACGUAGGUGGCAAGCGUUAUCCGGAUUUACUGGGUGUAAAGGGCGUGUAGGCGGUUUUGCAAGUCAGAUGUGAAAUCUCCGGGCUUAACCCGGAAACUGCGUCUGAAACUGCAGAACUUGAGUACUGGAGAGGAUAGUGGAAUUCCUAGUGUAGCGGUAAAAUGCGUAGAUAUUAGGAGGAACACCAGUGGCGAAGGCGACUAUCUGGACAGUAACUGACGCUGAGGCGCGAAAGCGUGGGGAGCAAACAGGAUUAGAUACCCGGGUAGUCCCU